GUGAGGAAUAUUGCGCAAUGGAGGCAACUCUGACGCAGCCAUGCCGCGUGCAGGAAGAAGGCGCUACGCGUUGUAAACUGCUUUUAACCGGGAAGAAACCCCAGGACGUGUCCUGGGUUGACGGUACCGGAGGAAUAAGCACCGGCUAACUUCGUGCCAGCAGCCGCGGUAAUACGAAGGGUGCAAGCGUUAUCCGGAUUCAUUGGGUUUAAAGGGUGCGUAGGCGGAGCGUUAAGGAAGUGGUGAAAUCCUGCAGCUUAACUGUAGACUUGCCAUUGAUACUGGCGCUCUUGAGUGCGCUUGAAGUGGGCGGAAUGUGCCGUGUAGCGGUGAAAUGCUUAGAUAUGGCACAGAACACCAAUUGCGAAGGCAGCUCACUAAGGCGAUACUGACGCUGAGGCACGAAAGCGUGGGGAUCGAACAGGAUUAGAUACCCGGGUAGUCC
Molecule: ribosomal RNA, 445 nt
Filed under: uncultured bacterium
Lineage: Bacteria
Description: partial 16S ribosomal RNA
Rfam family: Bacterial small subunit ribosomal RNA
Source: RNAcentral